This 1007-nucleotide long non-coding RNA is filed under the name Phocoena sinus (vaquita). RNAcentral's name for it is "lncRNA (ENSPSNG00000020499.1)". The record is from RNAcentral. Lineage: Eukaryota; Metazoa; Chordata; Mammalia; Artiodactyla; Phocoenidae.
UGCCAAGAUAUGGAAGCAACCUAAGUGUCCAUCAACAUAUGAAUGGAUAGAAAAAGUUGUGAGAUAUAUAUAUAUAUGUAUGUAUGUAUGUAUAUAUAAUGGAAUAUUACUCAGCCAUAAAAAGAACGAGAUUUUGCCUCCUGCAGCAACAUGGAUAGACUUGGAGGGUAUUAUGCUAAGUGAAGUAAGUCAGACAGAGAAAGACAAAUACUGUAUGAUAUCACUAUAUGUGGAAUCUAAAAAAUACAACAAAUAGUGAAUAUAACAAAAAAGAAGCAGUCUCACAGAUACAGAGAAGAAAUGAGUGGUUACCAGGGAGGAGAGGUAAGAUAGGGGUGGGGGAUUAUGAGGUAAAACAAUUAUGUAUAAAAUAAGCUAUAAGGAUAUAUUGUACAAUACCAGUAAUAUAGCCAAUAUUUUAUAAUAGCCAAUAUUUUAUAAUAACUAUAAAUGGAGUAUAAAAAUUGUACACCUGUAACAUAUAAUAUUGUACACCAACUAUACUUCAAUUAAAAACAUUUUUUUAAACCAUAAGCCCAUUUCACUUACAAAUGUUUGUUUGAAAGUCCCAAAUAAGGUAUUAGUUAACUGAAUCCAUGAACGUAUUUUACAAAUAUAUUAAGAAAGUGUUUAAUCCCAGAAAUGCAAGAUCACAAAAUCUAUCAAUGCAAUUUACUAUAUUAAUAGACUCCCAUCCUCACUCUCAGCUGGUUUUGCUUUCUACUUUAUAAGAAAAUUGAAGGAAUCAGAAGAGAACUUGUAUUUGCUCCCUUCACUGUCUUUUUACUCAUCUCUUAACAUCUGUACCCAUAAUUCUGCCUUCCUAAGUAUUUCCAUAGAUGAAUUAUCCACUCUAAAACCAAUUCCUCCACUUAUGGACUAGAUCUAUUUCCUCCUGCCCACUCCGGGAUAUCACCCCAGCAGUGCUUCUCUUUAUCUUUCUUUCAUCAUUAUUUUUUCACUUCUAGCGAACCACUCCUAUCAGCAAAUGUGAUAUUUCUCCCACU